GAUGAACGCUGGCGGCGUGCCUAAUACAUGCAAGUCGAGCGAACGGACGAGAAGCUUGCUUCUCUGAUGUUAGCGGCGGACGGGUGAGUAACACGUGGAUAACCUACCUAUAAGACUGGGAUAACUUCGGGAAACCGUAGCUAAUACCGGAUAAUAUUUUGAACCGCAUGGUUCAAAAGUGAAAGACGGUCUUGCUGUCACUUAUAGAUGGAUCCGCGCUGCAUUAGCUAGUUGGUAAGGUAACGGCUUACCAAGGCAACGAUGCAUAGCCGACCUGAGAGGGGGAUCGGCCACACUGGAACUGGGACACGGUCCAGACUCCUACGGGAGGCAGCAGGAGGGAAUCUUCCGAAAUGGGCGAAAGCCUGACGGAGCAACGCCGCGGGAGUGAUGAAGGUCUUCGGAUCGUAAAACUCUUUUAUUAGGGAAGAACAUAUGUGUAAGUAACUGUGCACAUCUUGACGGUACCUAAUCAAAAAGCCCCGGCUAACUACGU
This 496-nucleotide ribosomal RNA is filed under the name uncultured bacterium. Its description in RNAcentral is "partial 16S ribosomal RNA". It matches the Rfam family "Bacterial small subunit ribosomal RNA", at positions 28 to 506 of the family's 1533-position model. The record is from RNAcentral.